GAGCCGGGGCCGGAUCCUGCCCAGCACCCUGCGCUGGGCACCCCCAGCACCGCACCCACCCCCAGGAGCCGCACAUCUCCACUUAGGGAAAUUGGCUGCGAUUUAAAUUAAUGGCAAGCGAGCGAAUUGACUAUUAACGAGGUGCAAAUACCGCUGCGAACCCAGGGACUUCAUUUAAUGACUUGGAAACAAGUUCUUGACCUACUUCCAACUUGCAAAAUCCUUCGUGAAAUCGCAGGCGGCGGCGCAGAUGAAAAUAAAUUAAAGGAGCCGGCGCCGGGCCCCCACGCAGCGGGUGGCGAUGGGCUGCCCCCAGGGCCGAGCUGCAGCCCCACCGCAUCACGGGCACAAAGUGGGCACAAAGGGGGUGAAAAAGGCUCUGCAGGUGUUGUUACCCCAGCAAAGCCCCUGCUGGGACCUCUCUGCCCCCAAAUCCCAGCACUGCUGGAUUCGCAUCCCCGAUCAAUGGGAUGCGAUAGUGGGGGGACACGCAGAGCUUUGGGGUGUCCCCCCCCGGGGCUCCCCAUCACCUGCCGAGCCCCGGGCGGCCCUGGCUGUCUCUUGCCAUUUUUUCCUCCCCGUUUUUUAUUUAAUUUUUUCCGUCAGCCGCAUCCGGCCGCGUUGCCAUGGGAACGCAGCAGCAGCCCCGGCUGUCUAGACGCCGCGCCCCAGGAGCCCGGCACUUGGGCAGGAUGCGACCCCGGCACCCAUGGGUGCCCCCACCGCGAGCAUCAGCUCCGUCCCACGGCACCCCCCGACCCCCCCCCCCCAGCCCCUUCCCAAAGCUGUCCCCAGCUCUAUCAGCCCGGGGGAUGCAGCCCGGUGGCAGCUGGUGGUGCCAGCCCACGGGUGUCCCCCCAAAGUAGUCCAAAAGUCACCAAGUGCUGCACAAGGCAGCUUACAGCCAGCACCCUCCCAUUUUUGGGGUUUGGCUCCAGUUUAGGGAAAGGAAACUGAGGCAGAGCAUGGAGAUGCCUGACGGGGGGACGAGCAUCUCAAGCAGCUCACACCAGGGUCCCCAAAUCCCUGCCCGGGCUGUGACACCACAGGCAAUGGGCUUGGUUCCUCGGGGUGAGCCGAGGUGGGACCCACGGGGCAGGAGACCCCCCCAAG
Non-coding RNA from Anas platyrhynchos (mallard), 1113 nucleotides. The record is from RefSeq and is a predicted model, not a curated record. Lineage: Eukaryota; Metazoa; Chordata; Aves; Anseriformes; Anatidae.